Gallus gallus (chicken) is the source of this 12395-nucleotide long non-coding RNA. The record is from Ensembl. Lineage: Eukaryota; Metazoa; Chordata; Aves; Galliformes; Phasianidae.
UUUAUGAAAAAAAAAAAGUAAAAAAAAAAACAAACAAAAGGCUGGUGAGAGGUUGUGUAGGGAGUUGUCUGACUUACGUACUUGCAACUUGGAUCUCAUAGCUUAAUGCAUAUAUACCUAAAAUGGGCAAAAAGUGCUUAUAUUGGCCACAGAAUAGGACUGUAAGCAACGACUGGCUUGGUCACAGGAGUGGGGAGAUAUCCGGGCUUUUGCAUUGCCCUUUGCUCCUCCCUGUUUGGCUUUGCAUGAGCUUUUAGGCAAAAAAGUCCAGCAGGGGCUGAGCUGUAAACAUAGUCAGCCACAACUGCAAAUCUGUGGUGCUCUGCUGAAGGUCCUCAGACUGGACCAAUUCACAGCAGCGGGAGGAUCGAGCUUUCCAAAUCUGUGAUAGGACUGAAGCCUGCAUCCAGCCCUGUGGAGGAUGAGCCACCUCCACUUUUUUUUUUAUCUCUGAAGAUGUCCUGGGGCAGAGCUGGAGGCCAAGGCCCACCGGAGCCUGCUCGCAUCACCAUGCCUGCUGAGCAGGAGACCGGGCCGCGCUGCUCCCGCUAACCCCUGGCCACAGGCCCACUGGCUUCUGCGAUGGCCUCAGCAACAUCUGCUUCAUCCAUUAGCAUAGCACUCCUCUCCUGGCCUCCGGCCUGAGCCUUUGCUGCCAUUGAUUAGCAGCAAUUUCCUUCCCAAACCCGAAUGUUCGCCGGACGCCAGAUUGGAUUGCAGUCUGCCUGCCGUUGCAAAGCCACAGUGUGGGUGUGCAUGCACAGGAGUAUAAAUAGCACUGACUUGUUGCCCUCUGAGACGUUUCAGGAACUCUUCUGCUCUCGCUGAAGUUCGGAUUGCCUUCAGAUAUCUUCCCUUUGAGCUCAUGAGUAUAAACUUAUUUCGUGCCUCACCAGCUUUGACUCCUAAACCACGUUCUCGUGUUUGCAUGUUUCUCUCGUUCAACUUCAGCAGUUACAGCACCAGGAAACAUCACUGAUUUCUCCUGCACUGGAAAGCUAAUGCCUGUGUUACUGUUUAUGAAAAGCUUAUUGUCUUCUUGGAAAGAAAGGGAAGUUUUAAAAUGCUUUCUUAAGCAAAUGAUCUCUUGCACCCUUAAAAAAUUUUCUCACCCAGUGACCCAGAUCUGUGAUCCUUUAAAGCUCUAGAAAACCAAUCAUAUUAAAAACCUUUUCUUUUUUUAAUUAGAAGAUUGCUAACUAUUUCCUGUAUCAUUAAGCCAAUGCCAAACCUCUUCACCAUUAAGGCUAUAUCCACUCUGUAUGGCCAGGCUGUGGUAUUUGGGAGAGUUUCCAGAAAAACAAAUGGACAAACCUGGACGAGCUCUUCUCCGGCUUGGUUUCUCCUUUGCAGGUUAUCUGACUUAAUCAAUUUUCCUAUCCAGCCCCAAGAUGAAGAACAGUGACAUGAAACUGCAUCUGAGGCUGCAGUGCAGUGGCCCAAGCUGCCUCUGUUGUGUCAUUUCCUCCUCUUCUCCUGGUUGUCAGGAUUUGCAGUAGGUAAGCUGGUAGGAUGCAAAGUUCAGCUCUUGUGCUGGAUGGACACACUGGGUUUGUCUAACACAGCAUGUGGCUGUAUUACAGUGUUUCCAAAGGAGGUGACUCAGAAGCCGUACCUCCAUUUAGCAGCGCAUCAUGACAUGGAAGUGAACCAAAGCACUUAAGAACAUGAAGAAGAAGUGUAUAGCAAAGGAGGGAGGAUGGGGCUUAGGAUUGGAAAAUAAUUUGGGUCAGAAGAGCUGUCUGGAGGCCUCUAGUCCAGCCUUUGCUUGAUACCAGGCCGCCUGUGAAGCUGUAUCAUACCAAUGCCACUACGUUCUGCCUGCUAAUUGAAGUUGGGUGGGAUGGCUCUUCUGGUAGAUUACAAUGCUGAUUUUGAAGACCUGCUUAGAUAGGCCUGUGACCUCCAGGAUCAUUCUGAUUACAAAUGUGUCCACCACAAAGCUGCAGAAAGCUUGUGAUGAGGAAGGGAAAAAUGUUCUUGCAUGUCAAUGUCCUUCCAGGAAAAAAAAUGGAAACUGUAGUGUUUGGCUCACACAAGAGAGCAAACACAACAUCUCCCUGAGUGUCUAAAUUGCCAUCUGCAAUAGAGAGACAGGGUAAAGCUUGUUUACCAUGGCAGGCUUGAGGGUGAUGCAAUCUGUCAGAAUUAUAAAAUAUUCUUGGAACUGCUAAAUAUUAUAGAUGCUAAUUCCACUUCAGAAAGUAUCCUGGAGCAGAUGAAAUCUACUGAACAUCAACUUGACACAAAGUGAAAUGGCAUCAAUGUAGGAAUUAGCUCCUGCUUGGUCUCAGUUUCCUGGGACUUGCUCAAGGAUGAUUUACCAGUUGCUCCUAACUCUGUAAUCCAGUAAGGAAGGCUGCGCUGGUGAAAAAGACAAGUUGACAUAGAAGGGAAGUAAAACCCACUACUUAAAGCACAUGAAGCCUCACAACAGUCUGCAAGAGAUGGAAAUAGCAAAUGGAGAGCCAUGGAUGUGAAUGAGAUGUUAGAAGUUGUUAAUAACAAGGAAGCUAAAGGAAACAACAAGAAAUUUUUGGCCAGUGGCAUUAAAAACUGAAGAUAAAAGCCACCGUCCCCCCUGCUGCUUUCAGUCCUCCAUUGUCACCAUCUGAAAACCUGAGUCUUCAGGUAAGUACAGUUAGUUUACAGUGGCUGCAAAGAGUGUUAGACCUUAGAAGAUAAACCACAUUGGUAUAAAUUGACCGGGAAGGCGAUAGUAGUUCAUAAAAAUCAGAAAAAAUCUCAUUUGGGACCUUCUGCCAGUGCAGCUGGUGUGUGAGAGGUGACUGGGCAGCCACUAACACUGCCACAUCACUACCUCAAUGAAAAACAACCACAAGAAAGCCUUUUGCUUUUGGAUAAGGAGCUCCUGAGAGCUUUGAAGAAAUCUGAGGAGCUUGGAGGGCUGCUGAAAGCUACCAAACCCCACUGUUGAGAUAUUGUAUCACACAGAGAGAAUGCAGGAAGACAACGCGAGCCGUUGCAAAUGCGCAGAUUGACCAGAUGUUUGUGUAAUUAACACUGCUCAGUGGGCAGUCACAGGAAAAUACCUAUUCCAGCCUUUUCUGCUCAUGAUAGGUGAGACCUAAACAUGGAAUUUUGUGCAGAUGAAGUCCACAGGGAGGUGAAACACUGGAACAGGUUUCCCAAGGAGGUUGUGGAUGACCCUUCUGAGGAGGCAUUCAAGGCCAGGCUGGAUGUGGCUCUGGGCAACCUGGUCUGGUGGUUGGCGACUCUGCACAUAGCAGGGGGGUUGAAACUCGAUGAUCAUUGUGGUCCUUUUCAACCCAGGCCAUUCUAUGAUUCUGUGAUUAUAUUUGAUCAUGUGGGACAGCAUGUAUGGAAAGCAUCUAAAAACGUGCAUGAAGCGUGAGCCUGGUGGGUCUGGACAAGCUUCUAAGUGUAAUUGCAGGGUGUGAUUCCCAAAGUGAGGGUCUGGCUUAGGUUAGUCCCUGGCCAUGUGUUAUUUUUUAUACAAAAAUAACAAUAUUCUUCAACAUUUUUAUAUAAAAUACAAAGCCUGUGCUAAAGGUUUGCAGGUGGAAGAGGCCAAGAGAACUGCUCUCACGGAAGUGACCAUCAUGCUUUAUCCAGCCUACACAAGCCUACAAGUUACAUGAGACCACAUCCUGAAGCAGGCCGAGCCCUCCCAGCUUCAAGCGCUUCCAUAUCACACAGAACACCAUUUCGUUGAGGAAAAACCCUCAACAGCACUUGAAAAGAAAGAGAAAAGAAAAUGACUUUAUUAUUUCCAUUGUGGUGGAAACAAGUAUUUGGUGUCUUCUUAAGGUGUGAGAGUUUGUGCGUCCGUGGCCAACUGCUCAAGUACUCCGAGCCUUUAUUCCUGCAUAUAAGCUGAUGUCCUGCUUAGAGUGGAGAUUUACAACCUGCUCACCAUGGGGGUUGCAUCAGUAAGACAUGUGUUCUCCUCGUUCUCAUACAUUAGCUUGUUUUGGGAGGGGAAAAUGGCUGCUCCCUUCAAAGAAAUCCCGGCUUUUGCUGAUGCUAUCUGGCAUUUUCACGGUGUCAUCAUUUUGCAACUCAUUUCGUGAUCCAGGGCAAAUGUGCGUCAGGGCACUGGGGUUUUGGUAUACCACAGACGUCAUCUGCUUCUCAACUGCCGCUAACUUGAGGAAGUUGUCAAAAAUACAAAGGGUUUCUCCUACAGAGGAAAACACAUGGCUUAGAAAGCAGUGGGAGCUGCCUGUUUUCCUUUUUGGGUGAAGAACAGGAAUUUUCAGAAUUUGGUCAGAAAGUGGUUUGGGCUGUGGGAGAAGUUGGACUUUGAUCCCAGGGAAAAUCAACUUUGAGAUAACAAGCUCUACAAAAACUCCCCAUUUAUUUGGUACAUUCAUUUGUUUUCAACUAUGUAUGUGCACAUAAUGUGAAUGUAACUAUAUAUAUAAAAUGUCUUCCAUCCUUUCCUCUUUGUGACCGUAGCAGGAGGAAGGGCCUUUACAGCAGCCACCAAAGGACUAAGACGUGUGACAGAGGGAACAGCGUGUUCUUCCAGAGCAUGAAGCUUGGCUCUGGUGCUCACUUCAGGUGGUUAUAUGCGUGGCAUAGAUGCCACGAAUGACUCACAGAUGACUGCAGUACUUAAAAUUUCCUACAAGGGGUUGAUCUGAGGUGAACAGAUAGAGGAAGGAGACAUUAUAUGUAGCUCUGUGGACUGGUUCUUCAAGGGUGAUGCAGAAGUCAUUUGCAUGUGAAGUUCUCCCUCUGGCAAAGCUUAGUUUUACAGCAAAAUAUUCUCAGGAAUUCUGUUAUAUUGUGAAAGCCAGAUGAGGGAGGCUGCCUGAAAGCAAUACAAGAUGGCCAGUGUAUCUGGCAAACUAGAAACUUCCUGAUGUAUGUGUGAACAUGACCAAAUACUAUCUAAUGUGCCAAACUGCUCUGAAAGCACAUUUGAAUCAGAAUUAAGUUCAUGCAUCUGGGCCAUCCUGCAGCUGCUUCUACAGGAACGUGUUUGGGUCUAUAGUAGCCUUACUUUCAAGCUUGACCUGUCUUCUGUUGCUUGUAUCUCUUUUGGAGAACUAGAAGACCUUCAAAAGAAACAGCUGUGGUUCUUAUAGUCAUCAGUAGUACUUCCAGCUUGUUUCAGAGAUGCAGCUUGCCCAUUCUCUUUCCGUGCUGCAAUUUGAAAGGUUGAAUGGACUCAAGACAUGCCAAAAUGAUGCACAUUUGGUAUCACUAAAAUUUUCAGCACUUACUGCUUGUCACCAUAAGCAGAGUUGUAACCACACAGGUGCUGCAUCAGAAGAGAGAAAAGCUGGAGCCAAUACUAGUGGAAUCAUUUGACCUGACCUCAAUGGCAAGGGGCAGCCCCAUGAUGUGAAGGCUGGAAGUUCCUGUGUCCAAGGGCAAAAGCUUUGGAAAACUCAGAGGGUAAAGUAGCCAUGCGUUUCUCGAGAUCUACAUUCACUUCUACUUUUAGUGGCUUGGACCAAACCUUAAUGUAAGCAACUGCUUUGGCAUGUUGCACUAAAAUUUUAUCUGGAUGGUGUCGCAAUGUCCUUUGAGCUGUGGGAGAAGACAGUGCUUGAAAUAUGCAUGUUUGAGCAAGUUCAACGCAGCUUGCUUUUGCUGGAGCCUGACUUUCUUUCCUGGACAAAGCCAGAGAUUUGUGGAGUCUAAUAAUGUGUCAGCAAACCAACUUGGCAUAUAGAAAUGAGAAGGGCGAGUCCCUGUUCCAGUUGCAUAAAAAUGUCAGUGUGUGUGGGGAGUAGAUGAAGGUAAAAUUAAGGCCUAGUUUAUUUUCUUUCCUUUAAAGUGUAUUGUGUUUCUUGCUGAUGAGAAUGAUUUCAUAAUUACAAGCAUAUGGUGAAAAUGUCUGGGUAUCGGUAGAGAGUUGAGAUCUGAACUCAGGUCUGGUCUAGACUAUAUUCCUGUGGUCGUACAGUAGGUAAAUCUUGUGGCACAAUUUCUUGACUUUUUAACACGAGAAGCACUGCCAGCAUGUGAUGACCCAGAUAGACCAUUGGUGAUCUCAGAGAACAUGGUCUAUUUGCUUUCUAGUUUUGCCGACAUGCUUGGGGUCAGCAUUUUGAGCCAUACCCCGUAGGCAUGUCCUAGACAUUUUCUUCUGACACCAAGGAGAAUUGAUGUAACUACUGGUUUUCAGGAAUGCAAGCUUUAAAACAAAUAAUCAGAAGUUAAAAAACUUGUUGUAAAACUGACAGUUCAUGUUUUACUUGUUAACGUUGUUCCAAAUGUAAAAUUGGAGUGUGCUUUAAAAUCGUUACAGUGCAGUUCCCCAUGAGGCAAAAUGCCUUCAGUCUGCUGGGAAUGACAAACAAUAAUGGCAGAAGGAAAGUCAACAGGGCUAAAAUUAAAAUACUUGUGUUUAUAAUUGCUUUUACCAAGUUCCUGGAAGGCCCCUGUUUCAGAUGCAGGAUCCUGUAGGGUUAGGUGAAAUAGAACAGAGCAUAAUCCCAGUCCCAGAAGGUUUUGAGCUAUGCAGGUCUCUUCCACUGACCAGACUUCCACUGACACACUUGGAGACCAUGUUACAGACAUAUCAUUUCUAAUUGAAAAAAAUAAUUUAUAGAUUUUUUUUUCAACAGCAAAUUAUAUUUCUUCCAUCUUGUUAAUGACUGUUGGAUGGACAAUGCAGAAGGAUCCCUUUUGCAGGACAAAAAGGCUACAAAAAUAAUAGAAAUGAACGUCUGCAGCUGAAGAGUUUGGCUGGGACUUGAAAAGUUUGCUUUGGGUACGAGCCAGGUCCUGCUGAGGUCUGCAGGAAUUUUGCUCUUGGCCUCAGUGGGACCAAGCUUUCACCCUUGGAGGCCAUGUCCUGAGGAAGAAUUUAGUCUGAAAUAGUUUUCAAAACUUGUAUUGUUUGACUCACAACCAAGCAUUUUGUUGAGACCGAGUGGCUUUGUAUUUCUGAUUGACUCAUGUUGCUCAUCUUAGCAUCCUGCAGCAGUGAUCUCUCAAGGAAAUCCAAGUGUGAGAGAGGAUUGCAUGUAAGGUUCCUAAACCAACAGCUUCUUGCAGGUCUUCCCAGGUGUCUGCUUAAGCUGUAUAUUUUUGGGAGGAGAUGUGCCUUGGAGCCCCAGCACAUCAGCACACUGCACUGAAGCUAUGGCUGUGACCUGUGGCAUGACUGGGAUAUGCCCAUCCAGACCCUGGUCAUCUUUGAUAGACCCAUCCCUCCAUUCUGCAUAUGAUUCUGUGAUUCAUGGUGAAACAAAUAUUUGAAGGAAGAACAGAGAACUAGUAAAGUGUUUUGAUUUAUACCUCACAUGUAUGCCCUUCCUUAUUACCCCCUUGGUCAUUUUUCCUGUAGACCUCAGAGACCACAUUGAAAAUAACCACUAUCAAAGUGAGGUUUGUGCCAUUCUUCUUCUUCUUCUGAUUAGAGCUAGGAUAACACAUUCAAAUAAUAAGUCUGAAGCUGGGCAUGGGUGGGACAACACUACUGUACUCUUAACACUGCAUGUUCUAGGCAGAUUUAACAUGCAGGUCUUGCAUUGUUGGACUGCACAAGUGUAGUAAUGUUGGAUUUUACUGCUCUAUAUCAACUUGUGAUGAAACGUGGUGACAUCAGCAGAGACAAAGGUCCAUUUCGUAUAAAGCUUGCAAAAACACCAAGUGCUUGUUUGGUCAUUCAGAACACAGAGCUGGGGAAAACAACUUGCUCAGUUCACAGCCCUGAAACCUCUGGAGAUGCGUGGCUGGGUUAUUUCCUUGAUAUUCUGUGAUAUUAUGACCUGUUCUAAUAGCACAGGAUCAUAGAACUGUAGGAGUUGGAAGGGAGGAUUAUUGAGUUCCAGCCCCUGCUAAAGCAGAUUCCAUACAGGAGGUUGCACAGAACAGCAUCCAGACCCAAAGAAGGAGACUCCACAACCUCUGUGAUCAGCCUGUCACAUUUAAGCAGUUUAUAGUUAUCAAGAUUUAAGAUUUUCCUCCCGAAGUCAAUUGGUUUCAUAGUAGACCCCAACAAAUCAGUAUUUUUGUUUUGCUGAAAUGGAGUGUGAUAUCAUUUUAAUGGCUCCUUUCUGAAAACCUUGAAAGCUGCUUAAGAAACAGAUUCACAGUGUAUGGGCUCGAAAACUAUCCCGUUCUGGUACACUUGAAGUUGUCGAGCACAGAGUGCAUAAUUUAGAAUUGAAAAGAAAAAGAUGUAUCUGUGAAUUAAGGACUGCAAUACAGGAGCUAUCAACCACCAAGAGGCUCUUUUAACCUCAGCAGAGCUGUGCUCUUUAAUGUGUUUUUGUGGGGAAGAAGAAUAAAAAGGAAAUCUGAGAAAACUGAUCUUUAUUUUUAGAAAAAUAAUUUCUUUUUGCUAAGGAGGACUUUUUAUUUUCUGUGCUCUAAAUAAAGCAGUGAUAUGGUCCUGUUGUGCCUCAGGCUAUCCGCUUAAAAGAAAAGGCUCCAAAGAUGGACCAUCUGGAAGCCUGUGCAAGAGCACGCCAGUGCUGUUUGAUGUGGAAGAGCAUCCUUUGGAUGUAUUUUUGAACACUGCUCAAUCCGCUGAAGUUUUUUUUUGUGUGUGUUGAGCUGAUGGGAACAUCUCAGAGGAUUUUGCUUCAUGUGUUAAUGCUGCUUGCUUCUUUUUUCAUUAAAUGAAAGCUGGGAAGCAGUGUUUCUCUCUAGAAGCACUUUCGAGAUCUGCAGGUGAUCACAACGCAAAGGGAGUCAGUUGCACAUUCUUGGCCAGAUCUGCUCUUUCCAGGGCACAACAAGAACUUCCUCCUCUUCCCAUUUUUUUCUGGGAUGCCUGGGAUCUCCUUGGUUCCUGCAAGGCCAAAAAAGUUCUCUGUUUUGUUGUUGUGGUGGUGUUUUUUUGUUCAGGACUUUGCCUGAUGUACUUUGUUUCAGUGCUGCAUCUGAGAUGAGGAGAAAUUCACCCCUGGUUCUGGGAUAAGGGGUUCACCCCCACCCCAUGCAGUGUUUCUCUGAGCUUAUGUUCUCAGAUGUUCAAGUCCCAUCCCUGCACAUACCGGUGCCCUUUUGGCUCAACCUGCACAUCUGACAGCCUAUGCACUUUGCCCUCCCAUUAAGAGGCUACUCGUGUAAGGAAUUAGGGUCUUGUAGUUACAAGCUUCUGCAGGGAAACAAAACCACUCUUUUCUUUAGAUGAAUGUUGGACAACUCUUUUUUGUUUGUUUGUUUUGAUGGAAACUUGUGAAAUAAGCAAGAUCAUCUCCACCUCCUAAAAGGAGCUCUCAGUGCUUCGUGCAGCCUCCAAGAGAUUACUUUUGUUUUUAUUUGGGGGGGGGAGGGUCAGGGAUGUGGGCCAAAGUGGGACGUUUGCGAGCUGGUGAAUCUUCUGAAAAGGACAAGUGUAGGCACUUUGUCUCCUCUCAGCAUGGCCAGCGUGGAAAGCAGUGAAGGACUAAAGGACAUCGCAGUGUCGUGGACAUUCGUGCCACUAACUGCUGUUGCUUUCACCAGCCAUAUGUACAGCUGCGUUCUUUUUAUAGUGCUGCAUAUGGCACUAUCGUAAUUGAAUUUUUCUUAAUAAUUGAUCUGACCUGUAUCAUUCUGUUCAUUUUAGGAGAGCUAAUUCAAGCAGAUUGAGAUUAGGACUAAAAAUAUGGUUUGGUUAGCGGAGGAACCAUAAAGAGCGCGACUUCACAGUAAUGAUGACACACAAUCUGUUUUACCCAGAUAGGCUCAUACUAUUUAUAUGUAGCACACUGUCAAGGCUGGUGCCUUGUCUGCCUUGCAGUAGCUGUGAUACAUGGAGUAGUGGCAGUCCUGUGCUGAAGAGCACUCUAAUUCCAUGUUUUGGGACCUUCCCACCUUAUCACUUCCUCUAGCAAGGCUGUGGGGUCCAAGAUUGCAGCUGAUGGCCCUGUCUCUGUUGUAGUAACUCUCCAACUUGCCCAUCCAUGUGAGGAAUUGAAUCUGCACUGUCCCAGCCCUGGGCAGGGGAAACGCGAGUCUCUAGCAUGGUGAGCUUAGCUUCUCACAGCAAGCUAUGGAAAUAGCAAUGAAAUUGGAAUAGGUGAGCUGGAUCCUGCCUCAUGUUUAGAAAUGAAAACCCUAGGGUAGUCUCUGAAUUGCCCUUUGCUGAAAAGGAUUUUGGCUGUUUGGUUCAGACUCCCGAAUGUAGGAACGGCGGAGGUGGGACUGCAGACAACUAAGAAAGUUAGAAACGGCCCAUACGAUUAGGAUGCUGCAAAACGAGUGGCAGCUCUUUCUCUCCCAGAGCUCUCGGCUGCAGCUGAGUAUCUGGACCAGACGUUAUUUUUGGCAAGAGGAAAAAAUACAUCUCCCUUGAUACUGUGCAAAAAAAAUGAAAGUAAAUGUUGAGACAUACACGAGGGCAAGGAUCUCCUCUGUUGUGUGGCAGCAGUGCUUUUAGAACUGAAAUCCACUUGCUUUGAUCACUGAUUAAAAAAAAUGGACAUAAAAGGGAUUUAUUGUGAAAUAAUGGAUUUGAUCCCCAGUAAUCCUUUCUUUGGGAUUAGACUUGGAAUAUUAUUUUUGUGAUCUGUGGAAUUAGACCAUGCUGGCAUGACAGACCAAAGCACGUGAGUUUAACUGCAGGAUGAGGCUGAGCUGCAAACAGAGUGAAUUACUUGCACAGAACAAAGCAGCUGAUAAAUCUACAGCUCUGUAUUUAAUGACGCAAGAUCCACAUGCAAGCAUAGAAACAGAAAAAAAAAAUCCUAAACUGAAGGCAGGAAAGACCCCUUCUUCCCAGCUGACACUGCAGAGAAACACUGUGAUCACAGAAUCAUUGAAUCAUAGAAUGGCUUGGGUUGGAAGGGACCUCAAGGAUCACCGAACUCCAACCCCUGUACCAUAGGCGAGGUUGCCAACUGCGUGAUCUCUGUGGACUGCUGGCUAGAGCUUCUGGUUUGAGUAUUUUCUGCCACAAGAACUACAAUUUAUAGCUGCUCCCAAUGGAAUGACUGAGGGACUUAGAAUGUCGGUGCAAACUCGGUGCAGGUCUUCAUGUAUGGCCACAAUACUUCCCAGUGAGAUUUGGCAAGCCCCAGGCUCGCUGCCCAAACAGUGCCUGCGUGCACAGCUCCUUGGUCUCCCAGCACACUGCUGAUUUGGCCUGAUGUGUGCUGAGAAGUCCUCCUGAGUGGUUCGUUAUGGGUAUAUUAUAACAAAAUAGGUACAAAAUGUGCUAUGAAUCCCUGGUAUGUAACUUUGAAGUCCCAAACCUUUCACAAAAAGCAACUGCAAGGAACUCCUCUCACUUCUCCUGCCAGAUUUUGACUCUGAACUCAAAGUGGGGCUGGAGAUGGCUUUUAAAACAGAGGGAGAGUUCCUUUGUGUUGUGCUCUGAAUCAGCUGAUCUUCAAAACAAAACAAAACAAAACACAAAAGCUGUGGGACAGAGAGCAAGCGAAGGAAAGGUAAAAUAUCCCCUGCCAGACCCAUUCCUGCUUUCGCUGCUGGACUCACAGCCACACUUCUGUUUGCAAAGGUCACUCCUGCAGCAGGACAUGGCCCAGGCUCCUGCCUUGCACAGCCGUGGGAGCUGCUGGGCACAUCAGUACCCCUAAGCAUAACCCAGGUCUGCUUCUAGUAGGCUUGCUAUUUCAGUCCUUUGAGGACUCUGCUUUUUCCUCAGGGCUUGCUAACCCACAAAGCUGCCUGCUCUGCCUUGAGAGCUGCUGGUGCAGGACUGCUGCUCCGGCUUGGGACAUUCAUAGAGCACUGGGAUUCCCAUUAAAUCUUCUGCUACUAGCAUAGGUUUCCCUAUUAAAAAAAACUGCAGUACAUCUUGAAACUGGGCAAGCCACACCAUGCAAACUCUUGGGAAGAAGCUGGUUACAACAGCCCAUGUUCCAAGUCUCAUGAUUCCUUCGUAGGAUAAAAACGUGUUAAUUAUCUCCAUUUUUUGAUUUAGAGGGAGGGAGUUGCUUUUCCUCACAGCAAUGUAUAUCGAAGGGUUACAAGUGGUGCACGAGGAGUUUGUAAUAAAUCCUGCUUGGCAGUUAUUCAGAAGGUUUCCUUGAGUACACUGUGUCUGAUUAUUGCAGCUGACAGCUCUGUACACGGCGUACAGCAGACAUCACCUGGCACAGCACCACUGUACGCCACCUGGCAAAACUGGGGCAAAACUCAGAGGCAGCCAUGAGAGUUUUCUGCCACAAUUUGUGCUGAAUAUUCCCUCACCCUACCCCAUUCCCUGAUCCUUACUCCCUACCUCACACACAUGCUCUUGGAUGAAGUGCACCCAAUUUUUGCGCACAGUGCAAAUCUGGUAGGAGCGGCUGACAUCAGCAGUGUCAGUCCAGAGGGACCUUGAGAAACGUGGAGAUUCAGCCAACAGAAACUUCCUGAAGUUCAGCAGUGAGACAUGCAACGUCCUUCAUGGGGAGCAGGAAAUCCUCAUGCAUAGAUCCAGGCUGAAAGCAGCCGGCUGAGAGGCCUCAGUGGAAGGGGCGCAGGGUACGCAGUGGGUGCUGUGUUCA